ACACGUAGGGGCCUGACGUUGUUCGGAAUCAUUGGGCGUAAAGGGCGCGCAGGCGGCCGUCCAAGUCCGGUGUUAAAUGGUCGGGCUCAACCCGAUCAUGCGCUGGAAACUGGGCGGCUUGAGUCCCGUAGGGGAUGCCGGAAUUCCAGGUGUAGGGGUGAAAUCUGUAGAUAUCUGGAAGAACACCGAUGGCGAAGGCAGGCAUCUGGCCGGAGACUGACGCUGAGGCGCGAAGGCGCGGGGAGCGAACAGGUUUAGAUACCCUGGUAGUCCGCGCAGUAAACGAUGCGCACCAGGUGUCGGGCGGCAGCGCCCGGUACCGGAGCUAACGCGAUGAGUGCGCCGCCUGGGGAGUAUGCCCGCAAGGGUGAAACUCAAAUGAAUUGACGGG
This 391-nucleotide ribosomal RNA is filed under the name uncultured bacterium. RNAcentral describes it as "partial 16S ribosomal RNA". It matches the Rfam family "Bacterial small subunit ribosomal RNA", at positions 523 to 917 of the family's 1533-position model. The record is from RNAcentral.